UUCCUAUCAGCAAUGGACAUUGA
RNAcentral lists this unclassified non-coding RNA (23 nucleotides) under Mus musculus (house mouse). RNAcentral describes it as "oocyte_clustered_small_RNA18". The record is from RNAcentral. Lineage: Eukaryota; Metazoa; Chordata; Mammalia; Rodentia; Muridae.